CCUACGGGUGGCAGCAGUGAGGAAUAUUGGUCAAUGGGCGCGAGCCUGAACCAGCCAAGUAGCGUGAAGGAUGACUGCCCUAUGGGUUGUAAACUUCUUUUAUAUUAGAAUAAAGUGCAGUAUGUAUACUGUUUUGUAUGUAUAAUAUGAAUAAGGAUCGGCUAACUACGUGCCAGCAGCCGCGGUAAUACGUAGGGGGCAAGCGUUAUCCGGAAUUACUGGGUGUAAAGGGAGCGUAGGCGGCAUGGUAAGCCAGAUGUGAAAGCCUUGGGCUUAACCCGAGGAUUGCAUUUGGAACUAUCAAGCUAGAGUACAGGAGAGGAAAGCGGAAUUCCUAGUGUAGCGGUGAAAUGCGUAGAUAUUAGGAAGAACACCAGUGGCGAAGGCGGCUUUCUGGACUGAAACUGACGCUGAGGCUCGAAAGCGUGGGGAGCAAACAG
RNAcentral lists this ribosomal RNA (440 nucleotides) under uncultured bacterium. RNAcentral's name for it is "bacterial SSU rRNA". It matches the Rfam family "Bacterial small subunit ribosomal RNA", at positions 338 to 775 of the family's 1533-position model. The record is from RNAcentral.